GAUGAACGCUGGCGGUGUGCCUAAUACAUGCAAGUCGAACGAAGUCUUCGGACUUAGUGGCGAACGGGUGAGUAACACGUUGGUACCUACCCUCUAGUGGGGAAUAACUGCCCGAAAGGGUGGCUAAUACCGCAUAAUACCGCAAGGUUAAAGCAGUAAUGCGCUAGAGGAGGGGCCUGCGUCUGAUUAGCUAGUUGGUGAGGUAAUAGCUCACCAAGGCUACGAUCAGUAGCUGGAUCGAGAGGUUGACCAGCCACACUGGGACUGAGAUACGGCCCAGACUCCUACGGGAGGCAGCAGUAAGGAAUCUUCCACAAUGGACGAAAGUCUGAUGGAGCAACACCGCGUGCAGGAUGACGGUCUUCGGAUUGUAAACUGCUUUUAUAUAGGAAGAUUAUGACGGUACUAUAUGAAAUAAGGACCGGCUAACUACGUGCCAGCCGCCGCCGUAAU
Molecule: ribosomal RNA, 453 nt
Filed under: uncultured bacterium
Lineage: Bacteria
Description: bacterial SSU rRNA
Rfam family: Bacterial small subunit ribosomal RNA
Source: RNAcentral